RNAcentral lists this ribosomal RNA (366 nucleotides) under uncultured eukaryote. RNAcentral describes it as "partial 18S ribosomal RNA". It matches the Rfam family "Eukaryotic small subunit ribosomal RNA", at positions 592 to 976 of the family's 1831-position model. The record is from RNAcentral.
CAAUAGCGUAUAUUAACGUUGUUGCAGUUAAAAAGCUCGUAGUUGGGUUUCUGGAGGGAGCGUCGGCCCGUAUUUACGAGUGCGUGACGUCUCUGUCCAUCCUUGCGGGAAGGCACGGCAUUGAUUUGUUGUGUCGGAUCGCAUCAUUUACUGUGAAAAAAUUUGAGUGUUCAAAGCAGGCUUUCGCUUGAAUACAUUAGCAUGGAAUAAUAAGAUAGGACUUUGGUGCUAUUUUGUUGGUUGAGCCUAAAGUAAUGAUUAAUAGGGAUAGUUGGGGGCACCUGUAUUGCGUUGUCAGAGGUGAAAUUCUUGGAUUUACGCAAGACAAACAGCUGCGAAAGCGUCUGCCAAGGAUGUUUUCAUUAA